CGCCGCGCUCACCUUCCCUCCCGCGGCAGAGUGCUCCCUCGACGGGGCCGCCCCAACCAUCGCCCUCCUCAUCCGCCAUCGCGAUCCACUCCUCGACGCAAUCCAUCUACCCCACAGAACUGCUGCCGGCGUGGCAGAUCUCCUCCUCGGCACCUAGAUCUCCUCGGCGCGAUCAACGGCUGAGCCCGCUGCCCCCACCACACAACCGAUAUGCUCUCCAUGGAAGGUCAGGGACCUGCUCGCCCAUGAUCUCCAUGGAAGGUGGUCUACUGUCGACGGCCUCUCCCUCGUGCUCCUUCGUCAACCCCGUCCGCCGCGCCGCCGAGCCCCGAGAUCGCGCCGAUCCGCCAUUCUCGCGCCCUCGCCCCGACACGCGCUCACCACCGGCCCUCACCAACCUCCACUCGCGUUCCCCACACCACCCUCCACCCCAUCCGCGUCCGCCCCAUCCGUAGCACGCGGGCUGCAGCCGCCCCAUCCCUAAAAUGUGGGCGCUGGCGCUACCACGGCUCCGCACCAUGCCUCCGCGCUGCCAGACAGCGCCGGGCGAUACCAUGCCCCCACCCCGGCUUCUUCCUGCCAGUGUAAUCGGCCACUACUUCUCCACUGCUGCUCGCCGUCUCCUCAACCACCGCUGCGCCACACAAUCCUCCCGCGACGUGUCUGAUUCAAGCCAGGAUGUCUCACAGGAGGAGCAGCGGAAGCCCGAACCGAAUCCAACCGAGUCAUCUCAACGACUCCGCCAGUUUCCAAUCGCCCCUUUUUUAGGCGUUCAAGUUCCUUCGAGAUGAUGACAAGCAGAGGAGAGAGAUAGCGUCUCCUUCAAUCCCUCUGGCGACACCAACAACGCAUCCCCGUGGCCAUCCUCGAUUCUCCUUGCCAAGGAGGCGACAGCCAAGUCGUCGCGGUCACGGCCGGCGAUCCACUCGAGGGUGUUCCUGGUGAGUAGCACCACUGCGGUGGGGAUCGGGGAUGGGGGAGGCGGCAAUGGCGAUGGCGGGGUGCAGCUCGCCGACAACCUUAAGAUCUUCAAGGCUGACAACUUCGAUCUCGACGUCUAGAUUCCUUCCAAGGCUCUGUGCAGCUGUUCAUCCAUUUCUCCCUUCGAUGUCGGUGUUUGUCCCUGCUAUGUGUGUUGGAUCACCAUUGACAUAUAUGUGGAACUGCCUAAGGACCACUUCAAAUGUGUAUGUAGCAGCUUCAGCACAGCAACCAGCAAUGGCCCCAUAGAGAGAAUGCAGAUAAGCCAUCUUCAGUAUGCCAUACACUCCAUAGAAUACAACGCCAGAGGAUGCCAUACUGAUAAGAGAAGGCACCAAUCCCUUAUACAGCGAGAAGAAUCCUUCAGUUUGGAUCAUGUGGCGGGCAACACCAAUGACCCCACCUAAAGCUUCACCACCAGGAGCAUCCAUCUUUGUCCUGAUCUGAAACCAACAGCUCAAAUCAGGAUCUUACAUCGUUUCUGGACAACACUACAGGGAUCUUGUGAAGACAUAGGAUGGUUGCAAAGAACUCGGGCAUCACUUCGUUCAGUUGAUGGGACAGGUCACUUCAAGGAGAUUUUGCAUGAGAUAAGGUGGAACAAUCACUUCUCAUCACAGGUUUUGGAUAUGAACAUGAUGAUGCUAGGAUGACCAAUAUAAAUUUGUUUAAGGAAUUUACUGCCCUAAGCAGGGUAAGUGUUUCCUGAACUACAAUUGUUUUUUUUGGCUUUUUGCAGAUCUGCACAUCUGAAUUUCCUAUUAUCCUGUUGGGCUGCCUCUUUUUUGGAGUGACUGUAGCAACCACUUCUAAUUCAUUUUCAAUUGUAUUGAACUGGAUGUUGACCUUCCUAGCAUAAUUAGCUCUAUUUUUUAAAAAAAUAGUUCAUUAUGUAUGUUUCUAUUUUUUAUGGUACCGCCUAUGUUUAUAUAAAUUUAGCCUAGCACUGCUUGAAUAACAAGUGAUUGAAUGAGGCUCAUAUGCAACCAUUAAAUCAAUAUUUAUGAACCAAUGUUUGUUAAAGUAAUAAAACAUUUACAAGGACCAUCGAUGACCUCAAGAAGCUGGUGGUGGCGUAGAUGGGAACGCACCCCGAGAAGAUUUGCAUCUAGAGGUGGUGACCCCACCUCUGUCCUCAACCGCCACCUCGUACCUCGUCUUCGGCGCCGCCGGCUCCUGCCCCCCUUGGCACGCCUUCGGGGUCCUCGCUGGCGGCAAGCACCUCCGUCCCGGAGGCAUCUGCCGCUGCAGCAUAGACCACCGCGUCCUCGCUCAGCAGCACCGAUGUCGAUGAUGGCAACAAGGAGGACGGCUCCGCGAGCACCCCCGAGAUCUGCUGCUGCCACUCCCACGCAGCUCUUGCUUGUGAGAUCUGUGUGCAGGUUGAUGUCCUCGUGGCGCCACGCCGACCUCACCGCCACCAAGCGCGCCACCCAUGUCCUCACCGACCUCGCCAAAAACUAUAAGAAUAGGUGUAGUCACUGUCGGGGUGUACAUCCAAUUGAGUUUUGAGUUGGUGUUUAGCUUUCCCUUACCAGGGACGGAUCAAAGCACCGUAAUAAGUGUCGAUAUAGCUCUUUCAAUUGCGCCUAUUGUUUUGUGCGGGCUAUAUGGAUCAAGGAACCCUCUUUGCAGCAGAGGUUUGUUUUGUGUUCUGCUGCUAGUAGUCGCAUGUCAGUUUAAUCUUUUGAGUUCUGGAA
This is an RNA transcript of Zea mays, 2681 nucleotides long. It is a transcript of the gene named mitochondrial adenine nucleotide transporter pseudogene, with no coding region annotated. NCBI's taxonomy places the organism in Eukaryota, Viridiplantae, Streptophyta, Magnoliopsida, Poales, Poaceae. The record is from RefSeq and is marked validated. The transcript has 7 exons.